RNAcentral lists this ribosomal RNA (903 nucleotides) under Serratia marcescens. Its description in RNAcentral is "partial 23S ribosomal RNA". It matches the Rfam family "Bacterial large subunit ribosomal RNA", at positions 718 to 1618 of the family's 2925-position model. The record is from RNAcentral. Lineage: Bacteria; Pseudomonadati; Pseudomonadota; Gammaproteobacteria; Enterobacterales; Yersiniaceae.
AAACCCGGUGAUCUAGCCAUGGGCAGGUUGAAGGUUGGGUAACACUAACUGGAGGACCGAACCGACUAAUGUUGAAAAAUUAGCGGAUGACUUGUGGCUGGGGGUGAAAGGCCAAUCAAACCGGGAGAUAGCUGGUUCUCCCCGAAAGCUAUUUAGGUAGCGCCUCGUGAACUCAUCUUCGGGGGUAGAGCACUGUUUCGGCUAGGGGGCCAUCCCGGCUUACCAAACCGAUGCAAACUCCGAAUACCGAAGAAUGUUAUCACGGGAGACACACGGCGGGUGCUAACGUCCGUCGUGAAGAGGGAAACAACCCAGACCGCCAGCUAAGGUCCCAAAGUCAUGGUUAAGUGGGAAACGAUGUGGGAAGGCACAGACAGCCAGGAUGUUGGCUUAGAAGCAGCCAUCAUUUAAAGAAAGCGUAAUAGCUCACUGGUCGAGUCGGCCUGCGCGGAAGAUGUAACGGGGCUAAACCAUGCACCGAAGCUGCGGCAGCGACGCUUAGGCGUUGUUGGGUAGGGGAGCGUUCUGUAAGCCGUUGAAGGUGGCCUGUGAGGGUUGCUGGAGGUAUCAGAAGUGCGAAUGCUGACAUAAGUAACGAUAAAGCGGGUGAAAAGCCCGCUCGCCGGAAGACCAAGGGUUCCUGUCCAACGUUAAUCGGGGCAGGGUGAGUCGACCCCUAAGGCGAGGCUGAAAAGCGUAGUCGAUGGGAAACAGGUUAAUAUUCCUGUACUUGGUGUUACUGCGAAGGGGGGACGGAGAAGGCUAGGCUGGCCGGGCGACGGUUGUCCCGGUUUAAGCGUGUAGGGGGUGUGACCUGGUAAAUCCGGUUGCAUAUCAACCCUGAGGCGUGAUGACGAUGCACUACGGUGCAGAAGUAGUUGAUGCCCUGCUUCCAGGAAAAUC